GACGAACGCUGGCGGCGUGCUUAACACAUGCAAGUCGAACGAAGUGGCGAACGGGUGAGUAAUACGUGAGUAACCUGCCCUCCUUUUUGGGAUAAGCCUUGGAAACGGGGUCUAAUACCGACUAAAGGGGGUUGGGCUCGCGGGCUAUCAGCUCGGAGGUGGGGUGAGGGCAUACCAAGGCGACGACGGGUAGCCGGCCUGGGAGGGUGACCAGCCACAUGGCGACUGAGAUACGGACCAGACGCGUACGGGAGGCAACGGUUGGGAGUAUGGCACAGUGAGGCAAACCCUGAUGCGGCGAGGCUGCGUGCGGGAUGACGGCCUUCGGGUUGUAAACCGCUUUCAGCCAUGACGCGGUAGUGGCAGAAGAAGCACCGGCUAACUACGUGCCAGCAGCCGCGGUAAUAC
Molecule: ribosomal RNA, 408 nt
Filed under: uncultured bacterium
Lineage: Bacteria
Description: partial 16S ribosomal RNA
Rfam family: Bacterial small subunit ribosomal RNA
Source: RNAcentral